GGAAGUAAAAGUNGUAACAAGGUUUCCGUAGGUGAACCUGCGGAAGGAUCAUUAACGAACAAAAGAUUUACUUGUUUAAAUCUUUUGGGAUCAACCAAAAACCUGUAACAAAAAUAGUAGUAUUCAAUUCAAUACACUAUAUACAUUAUAAAUAUUACAAAACUUUCAACAACGGAUCUCUUGGCUCUUGCAUCGAUGAAGAACGCAGCGAAUUGCGAUAAGUAGUGUGAAUUGCAGAAUUCCGUGAAUCAUCGAAUCUUUGAACGCAUAUUGCACUCUUUGGUAUUCCGAAGAGUAUGCCUGUUUGAGGGUCAUUUGAAAAUUAAUCAAGUUUAAUCUUGGAAUAAUGGGUUUUCCGUGUUAUCAUCGUAUGGUAAUUGGUCACUCGAAAUUAAUGUCAUGUCUUGGCUUGUAACAGACGCGUUUAUUUUAAAUUUUAAAUGUUCGCAACUAAUCAAGUCUUUAUAAUGGCAUGUUUAAUUUUUCCCUUUUAAAAAGAGGAAGAAGUCGAACAACUUUUUAUAAUCGUGACCUCAAAUCAGGUAAGAGUACCCGCUGAACUUAAGCAUAUCAAUAAGCGGAGGA
Molecule: ribosomal RNA, 585 nt
Filed under: uncultured Archaeospora
Lineage: Eukaryota; Fungi; Glomeromycota; Glomeromycetes; Archaeosporales; Archaeosporaceae
Description: eukaryotic LSU rRNA
Rfam family: 5.8S ribosomal RNA (bases 161-314)
Source: RNAcentral